CAAUAGCGUAUAUUAAAGUUGUUGCGGUUAAAAAGCUCGUAGCUGGAGUUCUGCCAGGUGCCGCCUGUCCGCCCCAGUGGUGAGUACGUGGCGCGCAUUUGGCCCUUUCAAGGGGAGCGUAUCUGCACUUUAUUGUGUGGUGCGGGAUCCUUGACUUUUACUUUGAGGAAAUAGGAGUGUUCCAAGCAGGCUCUCGUCGUGCACAGCUCAGCAUGGAAUAAUAGCAUUGGACCUCGAUUCUAAGCUGUUGGUUGCCAGAAGCGAGGUAAUGAUGAAGAGGGAUAGUUGGGGGCAUUCGUAUUUAACUGUCGGAGGUGAAAUUCUUGGAUUUGUUAAAGACGGACUACUGCGAAAGCAUCUGCCAUGGAUGUUUUCAUUGA
Molecule: ribosomal RNA, 380 nt
Filed under: uncultured eukaryote
Lineage: Eukaryota
Description: partial 18S ribosomal RNA
Rfam family: Eukaryotic small subunit ribosomal RNA
Source: RNAcentral